Molecule: ribosomal RNA, 558 nt
Filed under: Hippocampus pontohi
Lineage: Eukaryota; Metazoa; Chordata; Actinopteri; Syngnathiformes; Syngnathidae
Description: partial 16S ribosomal RNA
Rfam family: Bacterial large subunit ribosomal RNA
Source: RNAcentral
CGCCUCUUGCUAAAUAAGAAUAAGAGGUCCCGCCUGCCCUGUGACUUAGUGUUUAACGGCCGCGGUAUUUUGACCGUGCAAAGGUAGCGUAAUCACUUGUCUUUUAAAUAAAGACCUGUAUGAAUGGCACAACGAGGGCUAAACUGUCUCCUUACCUUAAUCAAUGAAAUUGAUUUUCCCGUGCAGAAGCGGGAAUUAAAAUAUAAGACGAGAAGACCCUAUGGAGCUUUAAACAAAUUUGAUUUAUUAAAAGUAUACGAUAUAAAAUAAAAUAAAUAUCAUUAUAUGUUUUUAGUUGGGGCGACCGCGGAGUAUUAAAAAACCUCCGUGAGGAUUGAGGUAAUCUCUUAAAACUAAGAAAAACACUUCAAAGUAUUAAAAUAUUUAACCUAAAGAUCCGGUAAUACCGAUUAACGAAUUUAGUUACCCUAGGGAUAACAGCGCAAUCCUUUUUAAGAGCCCAUAUCGACAAAAGGGUUUACGACCUCGAUGUUGGAUCAGGAUAUCCUAAUGGUGUAGCAGCUAUUAAAGGUUUGUUUGUUCAACAAUUAAAAUCCU